Molecule: RNA transcript, 2178 nt
Organism: Lycium ferocissimum
Lineage: Eukaryota; Viridiplantae; Streptophyta; Magnoliopsida; Solanales; Solanaceae
Exons: 5
Source: RefSeq, a predicted model, not a curated record
UCAUUUUCCCUAUUAUUUUUGGCUGAAAAAUGACCAGUUUAUAAUUAUAUUUGAAAAUAGUUAAACUUUAAUGGGCGACUGAAAGUAGGAUGUUUUUUCAUAUUUUAAAGGAAAGAAAGAUUGUUGCCGCCAAUGUGUUUCCAUUUUCCCUCCAAUUAAUAGCCAACCCUAACACACACUUUGGGUUGGGUCGGAAUGGGUGAAAUUCCGGUGUUUACUGACACCAAUCUUGGCACUCGCAUUGUCGUCCCUCUUUCUCCCCACGCUACCCCCUACCACUUCAAAAGAGAAGUUGAAAGGACUCACUUGAAUUGUUUCUCAGAGAUGGGGCAGAUCAAAGUGGAUGCUGUGAUGGUCGAAAGGAACUCCUGCUUUUACCACCUUUCUGGAAAUUUUCCUCUAAAGCAUGUUUUCCAGCAUCAAGAGGGAUUUAGAUCACUGCAUGUCCAAGUUCAUCAAUAUGGGUUGGGUUCAUCUGAACUGGAUCAUGAUGAUAAUGUUACUUCUAGUCCCACAAAACUCAGAACUUCUACGACAAGCACAAAAUCUGACAAGUUAAAAUGCCAAGGAAAAGUGAAAAAGUUGAAAAGAUUUGCCUGGCUUAGAAGUAGACUAUUAGAUGUUUUAAGAAUAGUUCAUUUAUCAAAGAAAAAAAAGAAAAAGAAGAAAAAGAAAAAGGAAAGGAACAGAGCUAGGGAAAUGAACACAUUUAACUGCUUAGAAGGAUCUGAGGAGCCUAUAGUUGUUUCCACAUAUGGAUGUGAAGGUAAGGAACAAAGUUUCUGUCCAGCAGCAGAGUGUGAAGAUUCAUCCGAAGCAAUUUCGGUUUCGGGAAUUAUCAGGAAAUAUUUCUCAAGUUAUGAUGAGGUGAACUCAAGCUCAAGAUUUUCUCAUCAAGGAGCUCAAACUCUAAAAGGGAAUCAUACAAGGGUUGGAACAAAUCUUCGUGAUCUUAAUGUAGAAUGUGCUUUGCUGUCUCCUUGUUCAGCCAAAACACCUCGGCAAAUUUCAAAUGAAAGCGUUAGCAGAGCCUCAAACAAUAAGUCUAAAGGGAUUGAAAUUGGAAGUCGUAUUGUUUCCGCAUCUAAAAGUCUCUCUAGUCUCCGCAGUACGAGAUUGCUGCCUAGAUCUGCUUCUCAUAUUCAAAAUCUAGCAUUUGAGUGGAACUUAUGAUAUACCACCAUAAAAAAUUACAUGCCAUUUCUGGUGGACAUUGCUGGUAGAAGGAGUAGCAAAAUGUUGCUUAAGAGAUGAACUUCAUCUUUGUAUCGAACUUCUCCUUUCCGUUUACAAUCUUCAGCUUUUAGGCUUUCUUGGGUGAGUAGGCGAAUGCAAUUCUAAAGGUAGUUUGAAUGCUGGUGGAGAGUAUCUUCAAUCGUGGAUUCGAAAGGUUGCUGUAAAGAUUUGUGGCCUACUUCAAACUGUUGCUUCUCUGAUCUGAAGAGUUGGUUGCUGUGAAUCCUUUUUAGCCUCUUGAUGUAUAGAUGUAAAGAACUAAGUAGUGUUUCUACAAGGUUGAUGGCAUGCUAGACAUAUUUGGUUCAUUCGAUUUCGUCCCAUGCGGGUCUUGUGCAGCAAAGGAAGCAAGGGGUAGUCAAACAAUGGAAUUCCAAACAGUUUGAAGAGACUUUAGUUCCUUCCCAUUUGGACAUAAAUCUAGAUAUUCUUCAUCAUUCCAAUAGGUGGGUUGCAAAUCAUUUCAUCUUAUGAAAGGUGUUACAGUGCCAAAUUUCCUGGGUCUGCAAUGUACUUGAAGAAUUAAAGUACAGGUAUCCCUAGUUCAGCUAGUUUGUGCAUUCCCUCUUGGAUUCCAGAGGUACAAUAAAAACAUCCUUUGGACAUAUAUGAAAAAGAAGUAAUAUAUGGUCAUUGAUCUGCAAUUAAGAGAACUUCAAAGGAGAUGUCCCACCUUCUUAUAUGAUGGUACUCUGCGUUUCCAAUGUCUAUUCACUUUGCAACUCUCCAGUUGGACCACAAAUGGAACUUGUGCGGGAUCGAACUGACGGAUGGUAGUAAGAACAUUAUUUAUGUCUAUCACUAUAUUAUAAAUUGGAUUUGUUUGUUUCACUGGUAUUCUAUUAUUGCUGUCCUGUAGCUGACUGAGCCAAAAAUUCAGGUGUUAAGCAAUUUCUGUUGGGAAUCUACAAGCCAAUUGAUGAGCCUCCUCAUGUUGAAGCC